This 253-nucleotide ribosomal RNA is filed under the name uncultured bacterium. RNAcentral describes it as "partial 16S ribosomal RNA". It matches the Rfam family "Bacterial small subunit ribosomal RNA", at positions 524 to 776 of the family's 1533-position model. The record is from RNAcentral. RNAcentral also lists the same sequence under 1 other name.
UACGAAGGGUGCAAGCGUUGCUCGGAAUUAUUGGGCGUAAAGGGUAGGUAGGUGGUUGCAUUUGUCUGGGGUGAAAUCCCUGAGCUUAACUCAGGAAGUGCCUUGGAAACGGUGUAACUAGAGUACUGGAGAGGUUCGUGGAAUUCCCGGUGUAGCGGUGAAAUGCGUAGAGAUCGGGAGGAACACCAGCGGCGAAGGCGGCGAACUGGACAGUAACUGACACUAAACUACGAAAGCGUGGGGAGCAAACAGG